This 253-nucleotide ribosomal RNA is filed under the name uncultured bacterium. RNAcentral's name for it is "partial 16S ribosomal RNA". It matches the Rfam family "Bacterial small subunit ribosomal RNA", at positions 524 to 776 of the family's 1533-position model. The record is from RNAcentral.
UACAGAGGGGGCAAGCGUUGCUCGGAAUCACUGGGCGUAAAGGGCGCGUAGGCGGGAUGGCAAGUCAGUCGUGAAAUCUCUCGGCUCAACCGAGAAACGUCGGCUGAUACUGCCGUUCUUGAGGGAUGCAGAGGAGACUGGAAUUCCCGGUGUAGCGGUGAAAUGCGUAGAUAUCGGAAGGAACAUCAGUGGCGAAAGCGACUUCCUGGACCAAUACUGACGCUCAUGUGCGAAAGCGUGGGGAGCAAACAGG